GAUGAACGCUGGCGGCGUGCCUAAUACAUGCAAGUCGAGCGAAAAGAUCCGGCUCUUGCUCCUUUGACGUUAGCGGCGGACGGGUGAGUAACACGUGGAUAACCUACCUAUAAGACUGGGAUCUCUUCGAGAAACCGGAGCUAAUACCGGAUAACAUCUUGAACCGCAUGGUUCAAUAGUGAAUUGCGGCUUUGCUGUCACUUAUCGAUGCAUCCGCGCCGUAUUAGCUAGUUGGUAAGGUAACGGCUUACCAAGGCAACGAUACGUAGCCGACCUGAGAGGGGGAUCGGCCACACUGGAACUGAGACGCGGUCAAGACUCCUACGGGAGGCAGCAGUAGGGAAUCGUCCGCAAUGGGCGAAAGCCUGACGGAGCAACGCCGCGUGAGUGAUGAAGGUCUUCGGAUCGUAAAACUCUGUUAUCAGGGAAGAACAAAUGUGUAAGUAACUGUGCACAUCUUGACGGUACCUGAUCAGAAAGCCACGGCUAACUACGUG
RNAcentral lists this ribosomal RNA (497 nucleotides) under uncultured bacterium. RNAcentral's name for it is "partial 16S ribosomal RNA". It matches the Rfam family "Bacterial small subunit ribosomal RNA", at positions 28 to 507 of the family's 1533-position model. The record is from RNAcentral.